UUUAAAAUUAGGUACCAGGUUUGGCAAACCAUUUAUUGUUGGAAUGUUUCAAAACUUGGGGCCAUUUCGGUGUUCCGGGUUGAAAACCCAUAUAAGCAGGGUGAGAACUUCUUGUAGAGGGACUGGCCACUUUCAUACAAAGUGCACGAGGGAAAGAGCAAUAACAGGUCUGUGAUGCAACCCUAAGAUGUCCCGGGGCCGCACGCGUGCUACAAUGACGGAUGCAAAUGAGCAUGAUUUGCUGGUCCGAAAGGAUCGGCAAACCUGUUCAAUCAUUCGUCCGUGAAUGGGAUUGGGGUUUGCAAUUAUCCCCCAUGAACGAGGAAUUCCUAGUAAGCACAAGUCAUAAGCUUGAUUGCUGAUUACGUCCCUGCCCUUUGUACACACCGCCCGUCGGGCUACUACCGAUUGAAUGGUUUAGCAAGGUUAUUGGAUCCGAGCUGAGCGGUUCACGCUGCUCUGUUUGGAGAAGAUGACCGAACUUGAUCAUUUAGAGGAAGUAAAAGUCGUAACAAGGUUUCCGUAGGUGAAACCUGCGGAAGGAUCAUUCUACAUAAUUUCUCUCCACAAUAUUGUGGUCCCAUCAGAAGCCCCCGAGCGCACAUUGGCCGAGGCGCGGUUCCCCCGAGGGGUCAACACGGGAAUCAGACGGUAAGUGUUUAAGUCUUGCCUCCAAAGAGCACAAUAAUUCCUUCGAGAAAGCCCAAACAGCCCGGCCAGCACCACGCUCCUGCCCCAGCUUUCCUGCUGCCUCGGUAGGAUGUUCCGCCCAUACCUCUCCAAGCGUUCGUGUUGGGACACCAGCUGCUGUUUCUGAGGAUCGGGAGGAGGACGUAACAGGUGAGCACGCGUCCUCUGCUAGGGCACAAAAAUGGCGGUGGGAGAGGGAGACACCCUGUCCCGAUGGAUGAGCAAUGCCGCUCCUAAAACUACUUUUCCU
RNAcentral lists this ribosomal RNA (940 nucleotides) under Ligictaluridus michaelalicea. RNAcentral's name for it is "bacterial SSU rRNA". The stretch from base 1 to 550 matches the Rfam family "Eukaryotic small subunit ribosomal RNA", at positions 1363 to 1831 of the family's 1831-position model. Lineage: Eukaryota; Metazoa; Platyhelminthes; Monogenea; Dactylogyridea; Ancyrocephalidae. The record is from RNAcentral.